RNAcentral lists this long non-coding RNA (200 nucleotides) under Erythranthe guttata (spotted monkey flower). RNAcentral describes it as "long non-coding RNA (EGUT_LNC001702)". Lineage: Eukaryota; Viridiplantae; Streptophyta; Magnoliopsida; Lamiales; Phrymaceae. The record is from RNAcentral.
CGAAUUAUAAUAUAUAAAUUGCGGUACGGUACGGUAUUACCGUGGUAUUAGAAAUACAAUACCGCUACCGUACCAUAUUGUAAUGGUACGGUACUAGUACCGUACCGUAAACAUUGGUAACCGUUCUUUCGGUAAUUUUUCGGUAUUUCUUGGUAGGUAUACCGUGGUACAUGGUAAUUGGCAUUUUUUUUCCAGCCCUA